This 67-nucleotide transfer RNA is filed under the name Cucujoidea sp. 6 KM-2017. Its description in RNAcentral is "tRNA-Ser". The record is from RNAcentral. Lineage: Eukaryota; Metazoa; Arthropoda; Insecta; Coleoptera.
AAUCAAUGAACUUGUAAAAGUGUAUAUUUUGAAAAUAUAAAAAAGAAAUUCCUAUUUCUAUUGAUUU